Molecule: ribosomal RNA, 274 nt
Filed under: uncultured bacterium
Lineage: Bacteria
Description: partial 16S ribosomal RNA
Rfam family: Bacterial small subunit ribosomal RNA
Source: RNAcentral
AUACGGAGGGUGCAAGCGUUGUUCGGAAUUACUGGGCGUAAAGCGCGCGUAGGCGGUCUGUUAUGUCAGAUGUGAAAGUCCUCGGCUCAACCGGGGAAGUGCAUUUGAAACUGGCAGACUUGAGUACUGGAGGGGGUGGUGGAAUUCCCGGUGUAGAGGUGAAAUUCGUAGAUAUCGGGAGGAAUACCGGUGGCGAAGGCGACCACAUGGCCAGAUACUGACGCUGAGGUGCGAAAGCGUGGGGAGCAAACAGGAUUAGAAACCCCAGUAGUCC